This is a non-coding RNA of Ictidomys tridecemlineatus (thirteen-lined ground squirrel), 472 nucleotides long. NCBI's taxonomy places the organism in Eukaryota, Metazoa, Chordata, Mammalia, Rodentia, Sciuridae. The record is from RefSeq and is a predicted model, not a curated record.
GGGCCCUCGGCCGUGAGAGGUGGAAGGCCGGGCAGGCGCGCCGAGGGCCUGCCUGCGGGCCCAGCGCCUCAGGCAAUCAACAUGAAUGAACCCUGUUGGAAUGUUAUGUAUCAGUUGGGUAUUAUUAUGCCUCAUUGCUUCUGAAGGAAGAAGAGUGUAAAAGCUGCUUUGGGGAGUAGAGAAGACUGAAGAGAAGGCAAAGGGUAUAUGCAGAGAAACAAGAUGGCAGUGGUGGAGAGAAAAAGGGAAGGGAGAGGGUCACAGUGGUGCUGAGAAGAAAUAGACUUUUCUGCUGUGAAGGGCAGAAGAUGGCAACUGAUGUUCAUUAAGCUGAUAGUGUCCAGGGACAGCUGGUUGCAGAAAUAACACAUCAUGUGGCAGCCCACUUCUUCAAAAUGAAAGGAUAUCUAGACUUCUGGGUAAGGAUGUGUGAACAGAGGACUAUGGAAGCAUAUUCUCUGGAAUUCAGGUG